Molecule: long non-coding RNA, 294 nt
Organism: Humulus lupulus (European hop)
Lineage: Eukaryota; Viridiplantae; Streptophyta; Magnoliopsida; Rosales; Cannabaceae
Exons: 2
Source: RefSeq, a predicted model, not a curated record
GUUCGAGCAACUGUGUCCAUCAACAUUAACAGUUGGAAAGAUGUUAGUGUGGUGGAUAAAAAUAAAAUAUGGGACACAAUGAAGAAAACUUAUGAUUUGGACCCCAAACAAAAGCAACAGAUGUUGAAGGAUGCGGGAAAGUACUUCCGAAAUUGGAAGACUAAUCUUACUAGGGUACACGUUUACGACGCUUUGAAAAAAAUACCCAAAUGAGUUCCCGCCAGCUUUGCCAUUUGGAUUUGAGAAUGUCAUAACUCCGGAUGAAUGGUUAACGUUUGUGAACUCAAGAUUAAC